ACUAGCGCUAGGUGUUCUGGGGGGCUUCCCCCGGCCGGGACUCCCAGGAGAGCUCGGGGUCCUGAUCCCAGCCGGGGGUUUCUCACAGCCACGACCGGGGCCUUCAUCUCCCGGAGCUCAGGGCCGGGAGGGGCCCCAGGUGCGCAGCCCCACAGCCCGCCCCGCCCCCGCCCCCGCCCCCGGAUUUCCCCCACACCGCGGGGCCAGGACAAAGGGGGACGGAGCCGGACGCCGGGAGCUUCCUGAGCCGCCGCUGAUGGAAGCCAGAAGCCUCCUCCUCGGGGCUGACGGCGCGGCCCCGUUCGCUGGUCCGGGGGGAGGGGGGAGAGAGGGCAGAAAAGCGAGGAGCUCCACUUCCUCGAUCGCCCAUUACUUGGGAGAUAAUUGAGUCACGGCUUGAUUAGCCGAUUGCCUCCAGGCUGCUUUUCCCUCAUUUUUCAGCCGGGGCCCGGCCUGUCUGGGCCAGUUAGCCGGAGGACGCGGGCCGGGUCGGACGGAGCAGACAGGCCCCCCUGCCUCCUGAAGCUGCCCCUCCUCUCCUCCCCCCCCCCAGUCUCCUGAGGCCCCCCCCCCUUCCCCCCGCCCCCCGGGCUCCAGCCGUUCUGACAGAGAGAAAGUGGCGCGUCUGGGGCCGGAGCCGGCCUGGGGAUGGCGGGGAUGAGGAGCCAGGGACGGGAAAUGCGAUUCUCUUCCAAUUCCUUCCUCCCGAAAAGCGCAUUUAUCUGCAUCUAGCGGCUGUCGAGAGACAGGUGGCGGAGGGAGGCAGGCGGGGAGGCCGUGGCGGUGCGGCCACUGAGGCAGGGCCCCAAACCCGGAGGACUUCCCAGAGGCCCUUGCGGGGGGCCGAGCCGGCGAAAUCCCCAGCCCUGCGUCCUCCUUCUGGGCAGCAACAGGCCCUUCUCUGCUUGUUUGCCCCGGGAAGGGGACUAGAAGCUGGAAGCCCCGAGGGCGAAGCCUGCUUCAGAUCCCUCUGGGUUGUGUGACUCUGGGCAGGUCACUUAACCUCACUCAGUAACUUCAUCUGUUAAAAAAAAUAGGUAAUAAAUCCGCCUUCCACGGUUCCAUGGAGGAUGGAGUGAAAUACUAUCUCUGAAGUACAUCAUGAACUCUAAAGGCUUAUAUAAGUAUUAGACUGGAAGAGCCAGUGAAUUUUGUCGACUCGGUUUAUCAAGAUUUAUUAAAGAACGUGACAAAGCCUGCCAGGCCGGGAGCUGGGUUUUUACACAGAGGAAAGAUGAAAAGAGAUCUGUUGACGUGAAUAAAAAACGUCCUGUCGAUUAAAAAUUUAAAAAGAUUGAAGAAAAGAAUGAUGGCUCCCUUCGUCACUAAACAACUGGAAUUGGCCUGAAUCAU
This is a long non-coding RNA of Sarcophilus harrisii (Tasmanian devil), 1353 nucleotides long. RefSeq lists it as uncharacterized. The record is from RefSeq and is a predicted model, not a curated record. The transcript is spliced from 3 exons. NCBI's taxonomy places the organism in Eukaryota, Metazoa, Chordata, Mammalia, Dasyuromorphia, Dasyuridae.